This 133-nucleotide small nuclear RNA is filed under the name Mustela putorius furo (domestic ferret). RNAcentral's name for it is "U4 spliceosomal RNA". It matches the Rfam family "U4 spliceosomal RNA". Rfam says of the family: U4 small nuclear RNA (U4 snRNA) is a component of the major U2-dependent spliceosome. The structure of U4 snRNA from yeast and human has been reported. Lineage: Eukaryota; Metazoa; Chordata; Mammalia; Carnivora; Mustelidae. The record is from Rfam by way of RNAcentral.
AGCUUUGCGCAGCAGCAGUAUCGUAGCCAAUGAGGUUCAUCUGAGGCACGAUUAUUGCUACUUGAAAACUUCUCAGAACUGUACAUUACACCUGUUCCUCUUUCCUUAGAGGCAACUUCUGUAACCCCAGAUA